Molecule: non-coding RNA, 358 nt
Organism: Paramuricea clavata
Lineage: Eukaryota; Metazoa; Cnidaria; Anthozoa; Malacalcyonacea; Plexauridae
Source: the annotation of a GenBank genome assembly
CUGUCUCUCUAAGAACCGACCAAUGACUCUCGGCUCAUAAAAUGAAAUUCUUCGUUACUUUCACAAUGAAAUGUAUUUACCCCAAGAACAAACAAACACUAUUUGGAAUUUUGAAAUUUUAUUAAUUUUUAAAAUUUCAGCGACUUUUCGGCCCGCGCCGUCGGGCAGAAAAUCCUCUGCCUAAAUCAGGAAUAAAAAUUAGCCGAAUUCAAAUACAUAUAAUUUUAAAAGUAUUCAACCAAAUUUUAUGAUUUUUUAACCCACUAACGUGAAAAUUAUUCUACUUUGAAACUUACCUUGUUUUAUGAUACUUUUACAGAAAGAUUAUGGCAAACUUUAGCGAUAACAAGCACCGGGU